AUUACAAAAGAGGGCUUGGGAUUCAGUGCUGUAGAGGAGGUCAUGGCAGGGGAAGGGACAAUAAGUAAUGACAGGCAAAAAACAAAAAAAAUCAGUAAAAUAUUUCUAAAUAUAUAAAAGAAAAAAACUUCCUGAAGGAUAAUGAACAGGGUAAUUUUAUUACCACUUUGUUAAAUUUAAGAGCCCUGUGAAGAAUAACUAUGUGGAAAAGGUACAUUUGAAUUCAAGAUUUGACAUAACAUUUUUGUUCUUUUUAUGUGAAAAUGUUUGUGCUUAUUGACAGGACUUAAGUUCAUGAUUUGAAAACAGGAAAUUUAGAAAAUAAGUAAAUAAAUCAUAUGGCUUUAUGCUUUUUUUAUGCCAUCAUACCUUCUUUGCAGACCAUGCAAUUCUUCCUGGCCCUUGUCGCCUUGGGAGGAAUAGCCUGCAGUUUCCAUGGGGUACAUUCUUACGAGUCCCACAAUUUUGGACCAGGCCAUUUCUCCAUUUUUAAGAGCCCUGAAGAGAGAAUCGAGGGUUUACAGUUCUUCUUUGGACCAAUAGUUGGCCUUUUAAAAGGUGUAAAACUAAGAAUAAGUAAUCAAUGGACUAAAACAUAUGGACACGCAAACGGAAAGCUUGAUGAAUUCGUCCUCCGGAAAAAUGAAAACAUUAAAAAAAUAACAACCUUUAGUAAGCUGUGCAUCCGUGGUAUAGAGAUAGAAACCGAUGCUGGAAGAACUUUUAAAGCUGGGAAUCCCAAUGGGCAGAGGUCCACUAUCUUUCCCCCUGAGAAGGGGAUGGUAUUCAAUGGCAUCACUGGUUAUUUUGACCUUAUAUGUAUCAAAAGAAUGAUAUUUCACUGGACACACAUUCUUCAAACAAUCCCCACACCUGAAGUAACUACAGAAGAGAAGGGUCCUGAAAACACCUCAACUGCACGUGCUAAAACCACUCAAGCUGAACCUGCUAAAACCACUCCAGUUGCACCUGCUAACACCACCCCAGCUGCAACUGCUAAAACCACUCCAGCUGCAUCUGAUGAAAACACCCCAACUGCAACUGCUGAAAAUACCCCAGCUUCACCUACUGGAAACCUCCUAGCUGCACCUUGUAGCAAUGGGAACAAGAAUUCACCAAAGUUCUAGUGAGCCCCUAUUGAAGACACCUCAAUUUAACAACUGCACUGCUUAGCAUCUUACAACUAUUGGCCACUAUACUAAGUCAUCUAUCCCUUCUAGGAAAAGAUUUAAAGCUGUAGUUAUUCUGAGUUGCUUUUUUUAAAGACUAUAUAUACCAUAACCUGGACUAUACUUCCAGAGACCUGGAACCAAUGGCUGGCCUAAGGAUCCUGGAAUCUAGAAGGAGAGAGUAACCAUGACCCAGGUGAUGUGACUCCCCAAGAAAAUGCUGGUCUAAAAAAGUAAAGGGAAGGAAAAAAAUUAAGACUGUGAGAAAAUCCAGAGGGGAUUUAAGAGUCUAAUCAAUUAAUAAAGCUUCUGCAAAAGCUAUAUCCCAGUUUGUAACUGUGUUCUUUGUUGGGAAAUGAAUCUGGGAGUAAUGAGAGCAGAUGUGGUAACAACAGAAGCUCUCAC
Long non-coding RNA from Sarcophilus harrisii (Tasmanian devil), 1574 nucleotides. The record is from Ensembl. Lineage: Eukaryota; Metazoa; Chordata; Mammalia; Dasyuromorphia; Dasyuridae.